AAUUGGAGGGCAAGUCUGGUGCCAGCAGCCGCGGUAAUUCCAGCUCCAAUAGCGUAUAUUAAAGUUGUUGCAGUUAAAAAGCUCGUAGUUGAAUUUCGGGGUCAGUAGAUUGGUCGUGCCACUGGUAUGUACUGGUCUUACUGGCUCCUCCUUCCUGAUGAACCGUAAUGCCAUUAAUUUGGUGUUGCGGGGAGACUGGACUGUUACUUUGAAAAAAUUAGAGUGUUUAAAGCAGGCUAACGCUUGAAUACAUUAGCAUGGAAUAAUGAAAUAGGACGUUCGAUCUUAUUUUGUUGGUUUCUAGGAUUGACGUAAUGAUUAAUAGGGAUAGUUGGGGGCAUUAGUAUUCAAUUGUCAGAGGUGAAAUUCUUGGAUUUAUUGAAGACUAACUACUGCGAAAGCAUUUGCCAAGGAUAUUUUCAUUAAUCAAGAACGAAAGUUAGGGGAUCGAAGACGAUCAGAUACCGUCGUAGUCUUAACCAUAAACUAUGCCGACUAGGGAUCGGAUGAUGUUAAUUUUUUAAUGACUCAUUCGGCGCCUUACGGGAAACCAAAGUGU
Molecule: ribosomal RNA, 559 nt
Filed under: uncultured Glomus
Lineage: Eukaryota; Fungi; Glomeromycota; Glomeromycetes; Glomerales; Glomeraceae
Description: SSU rRNA
Rfam family: Eukaryotic small subunit ribosomal RNA
Source: RNAcentral